RNA transcript from Impatiens glandulifera, 1278 nucleotides. It is a transcript of the gene named zinc finger CCCH domain-containing protein 19-like, with no coding region annotated. Lineage: Eukaryota; Viridiplantae; Streptophyta; Magnoliopsida; Ericales; Balsaminaceae. The record is from RefSeq and is a predicted model, not a curated record. The transcript has 4 exons.
CGCGUGAAACGUUUUACGGGCAGGUUCAUUGUGGGAUUGAAGGUUCAGUAAUUCCGUGGUGAAGAUGAAGAGGAAUACAUUGGAUAUGAGGAAGAAGAAGAAUCAGGAGGUCGGAAAGAAAGAAAUCGCUGAGGACUGGUGCUUUGUUUGCAAAGAUGGUGGUUCCUUACGUGUUUGCGACUACAAAGGGUGUCUAAAAGCUUAUCAUCCUGAGUGUGUGUGUGGAGAAGGAGGACUCUUUUUUGGAUAGUAAAAGCAAAUGGACUUGUGGAUGGCAUUCUUGUUUCAAUUGCAAUAAGCCUUCAAAGUAUCAUUGCUUUUUCUGUCCAAGUGCUGUGUGCCAACAUUGUUCCAAUAUUCUUGAGUUUGCACGUGUUAGAGACACCAAAGGGUUCUGCCAUAACUGUCUGAAGCUUGCACUACUUGGAGAGGCAAACAAAACCGAAGACUCUGAUGAGGAAUUUGUAGAUUUCAGUAAUAGAGACACAUUUGAGUGCCUAUUCUUGGAAUACUGGCUUAUAAUUAAGGAGGAGGAGAAGUUGACAUCGGGUGAUCUUCAAUCUACAGAUAUUUUUCUCAAAAAUUGGAACAAAAGAAUUACUUCUGAGUCCGAGUCUGAGUCUAAAAGUUCAGAAAGCGAUACAAUGUCAAACUCCUCUACUGAAGAUGUUAUUGAAAUUGAAAAGCCCAAACAAGUCAAGAAGAGAUCCAAAGUUGAAUCGUCUACAAGCAAAACCAGAAUUGGCCAAACCAAAACAGAAGUUUGUUGCCUGGGGAUCGGAAGCUCUCAUACAAUUCCUUAAAUCUAUUGGUAAACAGACAAGCGAGAGAUUAUCACAGUAUGAGGCGGCCUCUAUCGUUGGCCGGUACAUCAGGGUGAACAACCUAUCUGAUCCGGUGCAGAAAAGGAGGAUUUUUUGUGAUGCGAGAUUAGAAUCUCUGUUUAAGAAGAAAACAUUUAACAGAAACAAACUAUGCGACUACCUUGAACCCCAUUUUAUUGAAAACAUUGAAGUAACCGAAGAUGAACUAUUGUCGAAUUAUUCGGAAGAAGAUGAUUGUGAACUGUUAGUGUCCACUAAAAAGAAAAGAACAUCUUGCAUAAAUAAGGAGAGGUUGCUGAAAUUGAGAAAGUGCAGGAGGCGCCAAAAAGCCGAUUUGCAUCCAUUGUCAAAGAAAACAUCAAAAUUGUCUUCCUGAUGAAGAGUCUAGUGAAACAAUUGUUGGAUAACCACCUGCCUGAGGAUUUUGAUUCCAAAGUAGUAGGCUGCUUUGUGA